UACGAAGGGGGCUAGCGUUGCUCGGAAUCACUGGGCGUAAAGCGCACGUAGGCGGAUUGUUAAGUCAGGGGCGAAAUCCUGGAGCUCAACUCCAGAACUGCCUUUGAUACUGGCGAUCUCGAGUCCGGGAGAGGUGAGUGGAACUGCGAGUGUAGAGGUGAAAUUCGUAGAUAUUCGGAAGAACACCAGUGGCGAAGGCGGCUCACUGGCCCGGUACUGACGCUGAGGUGCGAAAGCGUGGGGAGCAAACAGG
Molecule: ribosomal RNA, 253 nt
Filed under: uncultured bacterium
Lineage: Bacteria
Description: partial 16S ribosomal RNA
Rfam family: Bacterial small subunit ribosomal RNA
Source: RNAcentral